Molecule: ribosomal RNA, 484 nt
Filed under: uncultured bacterium
Lineage: Bacteria
Description: partial 16S ribosomal RNA
Rfam family: Bacterial small subunit ribosomal RNA
Source: RNAcentral
AUUGAACGCUGGCGGCAGGCCUAACACAUGCAAGUCGAGCGGAUGAAGGGAGCUUGCUCCUGGAUUCAGCUGCGGACGGGUGAGUAAUGCCUAGGAAUCUGCCUGGUAGUGGGGGAUAACGUCCGGAAACGGGCGCUAAUACCGCAUACGUCCUGAGUGAGAAAGUGGGGGAUCUUCGGACCUCACGCUAUCAGAUGAGCCUAGGUCGGAUUAGCUAGUUGGUGGGGUAAAGGCCUACCAAGGCGACGAUCCGUAACUGGUCUGAGAGGAUGAUCAGUCACACUGGAACUGAGACACGGUCCAGACUCCUACGGGAGGCAGCAGUGGGGAAUAUUGGACAAUGGGCGAAAGCCUGAUCCAGCCAUGCCGCGUGUGUGAAGAAGGUCUUCGGAUUGCAAAGCACUUUAAGUUGGGAGGAAGGGCAGUAAGUUAAUACCUUGCUGUUUUGACGUUACCAACAGAAUAAGCACCGGCUAACUUCGUG